ACAAGAGUGUGGAAAGGGGCGGUGGUAGUUAGUUGGUGGCAGAUGUUGUCCGGAAUCACAUGGCGGAAAGCGCGCGCAGGCGGCUAUGUGCGGCCGGGGUGAAAGACCAGAGCUCAACGCUGGGACUGCCUUGGAUACGGGAUGGCUUGGGGAUCUGAGAGGCAAGGGGAAUUCCACGUGUAGCGGUGAAAUGCGUAGAGAUGUGGAGGAACACCUGUGGCGAAGGCGCCUUGCUGGCCGAUUUCUGACGCUGAGGCGCGAAAGCGUGGGGAGCAAACAGGAUUAGAUACCCUGGUAGUC
RNAcentral lists this ribosomal RNA (300 nucleotides) under uncultured Lactobacillus sp. RNAcentral describes it as "bacterial SSU rRNA". The stretch from base 52 to 300 matches the Rfam family "Bacterial small subunit ribosomal RNA", at positions 547 to 795 of the family's 1533-position model. The record is from RNAcentral. Lineage: Bacteria; Bacillati; Bacillota; Bacilli; Lactobacillales; Lactobacillaceae.